CCCUAGAGGAGCCUGUUCCAUAAUCGAUAAACCCCGAUCCACCUCACCCUCUCUUGCUUAGCCUAUAUACCGGCAUCUUCAGCAAACCCUGAUAAAGGUUACAAAGUGAGCACAAACGCCCUGCCGCCGCAAAAACGUUAGGUCAAGGUGUAGCCCAUGAGAGGGGUAAAAAUGGGCUACAUUUUCUACAUCAGAAAACCCCACGAAAACUCUUAUGAAACCUAAGAGUCCAAGGAGGAUUUAGCAGUAAAUUAAGAAUAGAGUGCUUAAUUGAACCAGGCCAUAAAGCGGGUACACACCGCCCGUCACUCCCCUCAAAUGUAUUUAAAGGACAUCUUAACUAAACACCCUAAUAUUUACAUAGAGGGGAUAAGUCGUAACAUGGUAAGUGUACUGGAAGGUGCACUUGGAC
This 412-nucleotide ribosomal RNA is filed under the name Macaca tonkeana (Tonkean macaque). RNAcentral's name for it is "partial 12S ribosomal RNA". It matches the Rfam family "Bacterial small subunit ribosomal RNA", at positions 925 to 1522 of the family's 1533-position model. Lineage: Eukaryota; Metazoa; Chordata; Mammalia; Primates; Cercopithecidae. The record is from RNAcentral.